RNAcentral lists this long non-coding RNA (236 nucleotides) under Gossypium barbadense (sea-island cotton). RNAcentral describes it as "long non-coding RNA (GBAR_LNC015604)". Lineage: Eukaryota; Viridiplantae; Streptophyta; Magnoliopsida; Malvales; Malvaceae. The record is from RNAcentral.
UACCACAUUUUUAAGCAUACAAGUCAUUCCAACUUGUACCAAUUCAUCAUGUUAUCAUAUCAUCAUCAAUAAACAUCAAAAUGGCCGUAAUAAUAGUCUCAAACAUCGAAAGUAAGAUCGAGAAAAAAUCAACAUAAUAUGAAAUGAAUCUCAUAAACUUAGGAACAAAUAGUUUAUGGAACAUCCAAAACAUCAUGAAAAAUAUUAGUAAAAGUCUACCAUAUUGCCUUAUUCCC